UGCGAUAAGUAAUGUGAAUUGCAGAAUUCAGCGAACCAUCGAAUCUUUGAACGCACAUUGCGCCCGCCAGCAUUCUGGCGGGCAUGCCUGUCCGAGCGUCAUUU
Molecule: ribosomal RNA, 104 nt
Filed under: Grosmannia trypodendri
Lineage: Eukaryota; Fungi; Ascomycota; Sordariomycetes; Ophiostomatales; Ophiostomataceae
Description: Leptographium trypodendri partial 5.8S ribosomal RNA
Rfam family: 5.8S ribosomal RNA
About the family: 5.8S ribosomal RNA (5.8S rRNA) is a component of the large subunit of the eukaryotic ribosome. It is transcribed by RNA polymerase I as part of the 45S precursor that also contains 18S and 28S rRNA.
Source: RNAcentral